AGCAAUUGAGAGGCUAAUGUAGUGAGAUGGAUAUGCCUUGGUGUAAAUCCAAUCCUUUAAGAUUACAUGUGCGAGACCAAAAGAAGGAAAAAAAAUGGUGAGCAAAUUUAGGAAGUCAUCACUACCUAGACCAAAAAAAUCUGGAAAACCACAUAAUAAUAAAUAAUGUAAAAAGGAACUAUAUUCGUUUUACAUUUAAUUCAACAAAUUUUGUUAAUUGGAAGAUCUAUAUUACCCACCAAGUUCACUGACCAGCUGUACAUAGUUGUGACCUUCACAACCAAUUAAGUAUGAGAACCAUGUGUUAAAAUGCAAAAAAUAUUUAAGCGCUCGAGGUUUAGCUGCUAAGUGGUGGCUAAGUGUAAGUAUCCUACAGAAUAGUUCUUUUUCAGUUAUGCCGCAUUUUCCAUGGUCUACGUUCCUACACACAGGAGUUGAUUCAAUACAACAUAGGAUUGUAUAACCCGUCCUAUACGGCCGGCAAAGUUUAAUCAUGAAAGAAGAUAUACCAUAAGUUGAAUGUCCAGCGUGAGAACUAAUACAACAAAUAUGCAUAAACUGGAAUUCUUAAGGCAUAGGUGACAGCGAGAUAGAAAACAGAUGCUGCUCCGGGUGAGAUCUUAAGAUGACCACCAAUACACUUGCGGUCGGCAGCAAUCCUUCAAAACUAAGAAACAUGUAGGCCGACCUUUUUUCCCCUCAAAAGUCAUGGAGAGGCUUCACUAUUUUCAUUUAUAAAUAAGAAUGUUAGCUUGUCGGCUUCAUAAGUUGAAAAUGCUGACAGACAUAGCCCUAUAUAUGGAGAUAAAAAGGGUUAAUUAACGUGAUGACUGAAGUUCUAAAGACAUUUGGCAAAACUGAAAUCGGGUUCACAUCUAAUGGAUGCUAGACCGUGUCUAUUCUUACCUGUCAAAUAGACACUUUUGCAAUGGGGAAGUAAAUAGUUCUAUGAAAUGGGAUUGCUAAAUACCGCAUUACUUGAAAUAAUAAAAACACCUUUCAAAUAUUUCACGUAUUUACAUAACUGAGAGAAAAAACCAUCACGGACCAAAAAAACAGUUCUUGUCCAAUUUCUAGUUGGGAUCAUAACGCACAUACUGCAUCCUAACAUUAAUCUAGGCGGACUACAUAUUCACUUGGCAUACAGUGCAAUCAUGAUACAAUAUUGAUUGUACAUAAGACAUGGAGCAGUAUGGCCACAAGCGCUCUAGCUAUUCUCACAAUAUAUAAUCAAUUAAAAAAAUGUAGUAGCUCAUACCUGACGCUUUUAUUCAACUAUGGCUAUUCGUGAUGCCUUAUCUACAAACGCACACAAUCUUAUCAUAAGCAUUUAUAUAUAAGGAAAUCAUUAACCCAUAUACGAUAUAAAACCAUUAAAUGAAAAAUUGCAGAACAUGCAUGGUAAAUUAAUUUGGCUGCAUAUGUAGCUAUCGCCUGCCCGCGAAAAUCAUCGGGCGAAGUGUACAGAAUUUCCACAUAAAUCUAUCUAGUUAUCCAAAUCUUCAUCAAACCUGACUCGGAAAAAGGAGAUGACAGAUCAAGAUGUGUGAGGUAAUUGCCCCUUGAAUCUGGUACAUGAACAAAUUGAAAGGAUAGGAAGCAAGAAUCCAUGAAUUGGGGAUUAAUAAACACAUCAUUAGGCUAGAAUAUUGUACAGCUAGUAAGGGAGCAAGAUGUACCCGUAGAUGGAUAUUGGCGGCCAUGGUGAAGGCUCCCAAUUUUUCCUGCGCGACAAAAAGAGAGGAAUAGGGCCGGAAACUAUAGGCCAGCAACGAAUCAGAUCGAAUCGGGCCUAGCCUAGGCAUGGAUGGAGGGAGGUGGGGAUGGAGGCGACAUACCUGUAGAACUAAACUGCAGUUCUAGCUUGCGCUCGGGGAUAUUGAUGAGGUUGUAGAUUUUGCCCUUCUGCUUGAAAUUCCACCCAUCCUCCAGAUCGAUUGCCUUGCGCUCCUACCCCGCCAUCGCCACCGUAGUGGCGGCUGACUUCGGAUGCGUCCGUCGCCGGGUGGGUGUCGUUUGGGGUGAGAGAGAUGCUCAGACGGGAGAUGGGGAACGGAGACGGGUCGACCCGCUUAAUGAGGAGGGAUCCCGACGCACGUUUCAAUUGGAUUGAAGGAGGGGUUUGCUUCCGCUUCCGUGGGUCAAGGAAGGAGGAGUCAACCGAAGGAAGCACGGGGGAAUCAACUGCAGAUCUGAGCCAUACAUGGUCAAUCAAACGACAGGAAAUAAUUGUAGUGACG
RNAcentral lists this long non-coding RNA (2240 nucleotides) under Triticum aestivum (bread wheat). RNAcentral describes it as "long non-coding RNA (TAES_LNC008882)". The record is from RNAcentral. Lineage: Eukaryota; Viridiplantae; Streptophyta; Magnoliopsida; Poales; Poaceae.